This 571-nucleotide small RNA is filed under the name Pongo abelii (Sumatran orangutan). RNAcentral describes it as "processed transcript". The record is from RNAcentral. Lineage: Eukaryota; Metazoa; Chordata; Mammalia; Primates; Hominidae.
ACCACCCAGGCUUGGGACUCUCUGUGACAAGUCUGGUUUAAACUGCUCUCUGCUUUAUUCCCACUUCUCUGAAGCUUCCUCAUCCUUCAUACGACUGACCCUGGAGCUGAAGGCCAGGUUUUGCAGUGGUCUGAGUCACUCAGCCCUAAACCAGGUGUGUUCCAAUUUCCUCUACUAUAUGUGCCUCAACCUCCUCUCAGCUCCAGAGAAGACAGGACCACCUUCCGAAGAAGAACUCUCUGCAGUUUCUGAGCUCCUGCAGCAUGGGCUGCCCCAGAUAAGCAGCAGGAGCCCUGAAAGCCUUGCCUUCCUGUCUGAUCACCAGUACAUGGAGGGAGCUGCUCGCCAGAGACAGUACUGCAUCCUGCUCCUCUUCUACUUGUCCUACAUCCAUGAGGACAGGUUUGUCUCAGAGGCAGAGUUAUUUGAGGCUGUGCAAAGCUUCCUCCUGUCUCUGCAGUACCAGGGCAAGCGCCCCCCACUGGUGGUCUUCAAAGCCUCCAUCUAUCUGCUUGCAAUCUGCCAGGACAAAGACAAUACACUACGUGAGACUAUGGUCAGUGCAAUCAGA